RNAcentral lists this ribosomal RNA (497 nucleotides) under uncultured bacterium. RNAcentral's name for it is "partial 16S ribosomal RNA". It matches the Rfam family "Bacterial small subunit ribosomal RNA", at positions 28 to 507 of the family's 1533-position model. The record is from RNAcentral.
GAUGAACGCUGGCGGCGUGCCUAAUACAUGCAAGUCGAGCGAACAGACGAGGAGCUUGCUCCUCUGACGUUAGCGGCGGACGGGUGAGUAACACGUGGAUAACCUACCUAUAAGACUGGGAUAACUUCGGGAAACCGGAGCUAAUACCGGAUAAUAUAUUGAACCGCAUGGUUCAAUAGUGAAAGACGGUUUUGCUGUCACUUAUAGAUGUAUCCGCUCCGCAUUAGCUAGUUGGUAAGGUAACGGCUUACCAAGGCAACGAUGCGUAGCCGACCUGAGAGGGUGAUCGGCAACACUGGAACUGGGCAACGGUCCAGACUCCUCCGGGAGGCAGCAGAAGGGAAUCUUCGGAAAUGGGCGAAAGCCUGACGGUGCAACGCCGCGUGAGGAAGGAAGGUCUUCGGAUCGUAAAACUCUGUUAUUAGGGAAGACCAAAUGUGUAAGUAACUAUGCACGUCUUGACGGUACCUAAUCAGAAAGCCACGGCUAACUACGUG